GUGCUCUUCCAACGAUCGCAUUCCCCAGUGGCAUCCUCGGAGGUCCGCUGGAGCUGCUCCACCCAACCAACAAUGGCGGGGCAGGCUGUCAAGGCUUUUCCUUCCAUCUUAGUUCUGACGCUGCAUCUCUUCUUCCUCGCACGCUCUUCCUUCGCAGAGAUCAUCUUUGAAGAGCGGUUCGAAGAUGGGUGGAAGGGCCGCUGGGUCGUGUCCGACUGGAAAAGGGCUGAAGGGAAGGCGGGUUCGUUCAAGCACACCGCUGGGAAGUGGUCCGGUGAUCCAGACGAUAAGGGUAUCCAGACAUCCUUGGAUGCCAAACACACUGCCGUAUCUGCGAAGAUACCGGAGUUCAGCAACAAGAACCGGACUUUGGUCCUCCAGUACUCUAUAAAGUUUGAGCAGGACAUUGAAUGUGGUGGUGGUUACAUAAAGCUUCUCUCAGGAUAUGUCAAUCAGAAGAAGUUUGGUGGGGACACACCUUACAGUGUGAUGUUCGGACCAGAUCUCUGUGGGACCCAGACCAAGAAACUCCAUGUCAUUCUCUCAUACCAAGGACAGAACUACCCGAUAAAGAAGGAUUUGCAGUGUGAGACUGACAAGUUGACCCAUUUUUAUACAUUUAUACUUAGACCAGAUGCUUCUUAUAGCAUUCUGGUUGAUAAUAGAGAGAGGGACUCAGGGAGCAUGUAUACUGAUUGGGAUAUCCUUCCUCCGAGGAAAAUUAAAGACGUCAAAGCAAAGAAGCCUGCUGAUUGGGAUGACAGAGAGUAUAUUGAUGAUCCUAAUGAUGUCAAACCCAAGGGAUACGAUUCAAUUCCAGCUGAGAUUCCUGAUCCAAAAUCUAAAGAGCCCGACAAUUGGGACGAGGAAGAAGAUGGCAUUUGGAAACCUCCGAAAGUACCAAACCCAGCAUACAAAGGACCAUGGAAACGAAAGAAAAUUAAGAACCCGAACUACAAGGGUAAAUGGAAAACCCCUUGGAUCGAUAAUCCUGAAUUUGAAGAUGACCCUGAUCUUUAUGUGCUGAAGCCAAUUAAGUAUGUAGGCAUUGAGGUUUGGCAGGUCAAGGCAGGUUCGGUCUUUGACAACAUUUUGAUUUGUGAUGAUCCUGCCUAUGCAAAACAAGUGGUGGAAGAAGUAUUUGCCAAUCGGGAGGUUGAGAAGGAGGCAUUUGAGGAAGCUGAAAAAAUCAGAAAAGCACGGGAGGAAGAGGAAGCUCAAAGAGCAAGAGAGGAAGGCGAAAGGAGACGUCGGGAGAGGGGUCAUGAUCGACGUUACCGGGAUAGAUACAGAGACAAGUAUAGAAGGGUUAGUAUAUCUCGUGCUCUGAGAUUUUAUACAGUUUCUGGUUUUAGUGUGUCAGAGCCAUAGUUUCUUACAAGUCCCUCUCAUUGAGCUCAUUACUAGACCAAGUAUGCAAGUAUGGAUAAAAUAGGAGAGACUGCUGAUAAGAUCAUUCACAACCUCACAAACAUGAUCAUGACUUGUCAUGCUAGCAUGAUUUCUUGGGCAUUUUUAUCCGUACGAAUGUGACUGAACAUAGUGCAUACUGAUAUGGAACGUUUUUGUUGCAGCAUGAUCGCCACGACUUCGAUGAUUAUCAUGAUGAGCUUUGAUAGAGCCAUAAGCCUCAGCUCUUUGUUGGCAUGUUCUCUGAGGAUCGGUACGACUCGACUCCCCAUCCUAUGUAGUUUUGCGUCACGCUCAAUGUUGUAAAAGCAUGUAAUUUCCAGAAUGUCAUAUUCGGGGACAUUUCCGUGACAUGACAUUGUACUUGUAUUCCUAUUGAAAUUUUAUGGAGACAAGAACUCUAGGUCUUCAAUCUUUUGAUUACAUGUAUCAGAACUCGAAGCUCCAUAGAGUAUUUCUUUUGCGUCUUGUAACAGAAGUUGACAGUCUGCUUUAGAAACUCUCAUCAUAUGCAAUCAUCGACGAGAUAAUGCGAAAGAGACAGCAA
This is a non-coding RNA of Punica granatum (pomegranate), 1957 nucleotides long. The record is from RefSeq and is a predicted model, not a curated record. NCBI's taxonomy places the organism in Eukaryota, Viridiplantae, Streptophyta, Magnoliopsida, Myrtales, Lythraceae.